RNAcentral lists this ribosomal RNA (600 nucleotides) under uncultured bacterium. RNAcentral describes it as "bacterial SSU rRNA". The stretch from base 1 to 386 matches the Rfam family "Bacterial small subunit ribosomal RNA", at positions 120 to 545 of the family's 1533-position model. The record is from RNAcentral.
GAUAUCUGCCUUGGUUCGGAAUAACCCUGGGAAACUGGGGCUAAUACCGGAUGGUUCCUGCGGGAUAAAGAUUUAUCGCCAAAAGAUGAGUCCGCGUACGAUUAGCUAGUUGGUGAGGUAAUGGCUCACCAAGGCGACGAUCGUUAGCUGGUCUGAGAGGACGAUCAGCACACUGGGACUGAGACACGGCCAGACUCCUACGGGAGGCAACAGUGGGGAACUAUUGGACAAUGGGGGCAACCCUGAUCCAGCAUGCCGCGUGAGUGAUGAAGGCCUUCGGGUUGUAAAGCUCUUUUGGCGGGGACGGAUGAUGACGGUACCCGAGAAUAAGCCCCGGGUAAACUUCGUGCCAGAAGCCGCGGUAAGACNANGGGGCUAGCGUAGUCGGAAUUACUGGGGCGUAAAGCGAGUUGUACGGUGGCANCACAACGGUCGGACUGUGACAAAGCCUGAGCACANCUCAAGAACUGGCAUUCAGGANUGCGCAGGACCCACCANGACCGCGANACGCAAAGACAGGGACAAAACCACAGAACUGAUACGAGGCGGCACACACGCCUCGACACGACAAACAGGGCGGUUCAACGAACGAAACGCNGC